RNAcentral lists this ribosomal RNA (725 nucleotides) under uncultured bacterium. RNAcentral describes it as "bacterial SSU rRNA". It matches the Rfam family "Bacterial small subunit ribosomal RNA", at positions 66 to 787 of the family's 1533-position model. The record is from RNAcentral.
ACGAGAAUCUUUGAACAGAACUUUUCGGAGUGACGUUCAAAGAGGAAAGUGGCGGACGGGCGAGUAACGCGUGAGUAACCUGCCCAUAAGAGGGGGAUAAUCCAUGGAAACGUGGACUAAUACCGCAUAUUGUAGUUAAGUUGCAUGACUUGAUUAUGAAAGAUUUAUCGCUUAUGGAUGGACUCGCGUCAGAUUAGAUAGUUGGUGAGGUAACGGCUCACCAAGUCAACGAUCUGUAGCCGAACUGAGAGGUUGAUCGGCCGCAUUGGGACUGAGACACGGCCCAGACUCCUACGGGAGGCAGCAGUGGGGAAUAUUGCGCAAUGGGGGCAACCCUGACGCAGCAACGCCGCGUGCAGGAAGAAGGUCUUCGGAUUGUAAACUGUUGUCGCAAGGGAAGAAGACAGUGACGGUACCUUGUGAGAAAGUCACGGCUAACUACGUGCCAGCAGCCGCGGUAAUACGUAGGUGACAAGCGUUGUCCGGAUUUACUGGGUGUAAAGGGCGCGUAGGCGGACUGUCAAGUCAGUCGUGAAAUACCGGGGCUUAACCCCGGGGCUGCGAUUGAAACUGACAGCCUUGGGUAUCGGAGAGGAAAGCGGAAUUCCUAGUGUAGCGGUGAAAUGCGUAGAUAUUAGGAGGAACACCAGUGGCGAAGGCGGCUUUCUGGACGACAACUGACGCUGAGGCGCGAAAGUGUGGGGAGCAAACAGGAUUAGAUACCC